RNAcentral lists this long non-coding RNA (1115 nucleotides) under Marmota monax (woodchuck). The record is from RNAcentral. Lineage: Eukaryota; Metazoa; Chordata; Mammalia; Rodentia; Sciuridae.
GUUAGAUCAUAAGUUAAAGCCUGGUUCACAGCUUUCAGCUUUCUUCUGAAGUCAUGUUUUGCCAAUCAUUUAUCUUCUUCUUUAUGUAUUUUUUUAAAUUUACAAUGCCUAUUCUUAAACACUUUUCAGUAGAACAAUAUUUUUGGCUAAAAUCACCCUUUGAUUCAGAGGCAAAUGAGUUUCUCUACUUUGUGAAUCAACAGAAGAUAAUCUCUUAUCACGGUUUAUUGGCUAAUCAACCACUCAUCUCAUUGUCAUCUGAAGCCAUUGAGAAUCAGAUAUGCCAUGAGAUAGAUCUCAAGCCAAGGAAUUUUAAGUCAGUGAAUCACUUCUUGGUAAGUUUGUAGGAAAAAAUGGACCGUGAACUUAUCUUUGAGGGGUAUGUAUGUAAGUUUUCCAGAGACUCAGGGAAGCAAUGGGAAGAAGGCAUAUGAAAUAAUCUCUAAGAGGCAACACUUUCAACAUGUAAUUUUCUGAUGAGAAAUGAACAGGAAUCAAAAGGAUGCUACAUAAUGAUCAAAGAGUGAACCAACUACAUAAUGUGAAAACAUGAAUUAGACUAGACAAGGAGGUAGUUUUCAAAACAUGGCCUCAAAUUCUUUGACAUUCCCCCCAUUGAAAGGCAGAGUUUGUUCCCUCUUCUUGAAUCUGGAAGAGCUAUGAAUUCUCCAACCAAUAGAAAACAACAGAACCAAAUGACACUAAGUGACUUUAAAGGUAUAUCAUAAAAGGCCAUCCAGUUUCUACUUGUCUCCUGGAAAACUUACUUUGGAGAUCUGAGCAUCCUUUUAAGUAGCCCAACUUCUCUAAGGCACUAUACAGGAGAGGUCACCUGCAGACUUCCUAUAUAAUGUUCCCAAGAUGAACUAGUUUUUCAGACAGCCCAAGACAGUUCCAGAAGUAAAGAAGCCAUCUUGAAAGUAGGUGCUUUGGCUCCAGCUGUUCCUGUUUUUUCAAUCAUCACUGCACAUACAUCCUGGAGCAUAGAACCAUCCUUGCUGUACCCUUUCCAGAUUCCUGCCACACACAAUCCAUGAUUAUUAUUAUUUGAUGUCUUUAAGUAUAAAUUGGUUUGUUUUUCAGCAACAUGUAACCAGAACAGAAUUAAGUUAUCA